Molecule: ribosomal RNA, 253 nt
Filed under: uncultured bacterium
Lineage: Bacteria
Description: partial 16S ribosomal RNA
Rfam family: Bacterial small subunit ribosomal RNA
Source: RNAcentral
UACGGAGGGGGCGAGCGUUAUUCGGAAUUAUUGGGCGUAAAGGGCGCGUAGGCGGCCCGGUAAGUCAAAGGUGAAAUCCCUCGGCUCAACUGAGGAACUGCCUUUGAAACUGUCGGGCUUGAGGCCGGGAGGGGGUAGCGGAAUUCCCAGUGUAGCGGUGAAAUGCGUAGAUACUGGGAGGAACACCAGUGGCGAAGGCGGCUACCUGGACCGGUUCUGACGCUGAGGCGCGAAAGCGUGGGGAGCAAACAGG